UCUCCCUUUCUCUCCUCUGCGCCGCCUCGCCCCUCUCUCACCACGCCGCAAAUCUGGAUCGACAGCGACGAGCGACGCCGCGUUUCCUCGCCACACCGAAACAACGGACUCGGCACCGACGGCGACGGGCGGCGCGAACGUUCCUCACCACACCGGACGCAGACGGAGGCGCCUCCCCUGGUUUCUCGCGGAACAUGACGAGCUGGAGCAGACAAUGGACAAAGAAAAGGGGAAGGCGAGUGGGAAGAAGGAGAAAGAAGGACGUUGGACUCCAUUAUGAAGAGCAAGUUGCCGGUCUCGAGGAUGCAGAAGGGGAAUGGGAAGGGCAAUGCAGCAGCUACUAUGCGGCUGCCAAGGAAGCUGGCAAAUGAUUCCAGCAAUGUCCCAAUCGCUGAGUUGUUGUAUAGGGUAAAAAAGAAACCUCCGCCAUGACGUCUCCUUGACCCCACCAGCGCUGGCGUGCGUGCCGGAAUCGCCGUUGCCUUCGGCUCCGCAAACUACUAUGAGAGGGAGGCUACAUCUUCCCAGGCAAUGGAACAUGAUAAGCAAGUGGAGGAGGAUCAUGAAGAGGUGGAAGAGGAUGAGCGUCCAAGCUCAUGUGUGUGUGUGUGUUGUUUUGGUGUGCUAGGCAAUGGAACAUGAUAAGCAAGUGG
Long non-coding RNA from Triticum dicoccoides, 653 nucleotides. RefSeq lists it as uncharacterized. NCBI's taxonomy places the organism in Eukaryota, Viridiplantae, Streptophyta, Magnoliopsida, Poales, Poaceae. The record is from RefSeq and is a predicted model, not a curated record. The transcript is spliced from 3 exons.